GACGAACGCUGGCGGCGUGCUUAACACAUGCAAGUCGAACGGUGAAGCGCCUUCCUUUUUGGUCGGUGUGGAUGAGUGGCGAACUGGUGAGUAACACGUGAGUAACCUGCCCCCUCCUUCUUGAUAACCGCAUGAAAGUGUGGCUACUACGGGAUAUUCUGGGUCUGUCGCAUGAUGGGUCUGGGACAGAUUUUGUUUCGGUUGGGGAUGGGCUCGCGGCCUAUCAGCUUGUUGGUGGGGUGAUGGCCUACCAAGGCGGUGAGGGGUAGCCGGCCUGAGAGGAUCGGCGAUCACGCUAGUGCUGAGACGCGGAGACGACUACUACGGGAGGCAGCAGUGGAGCAUAUUGCAUGAGGGGAGGAAGGCUGAUGCAGCGACGCGGGGUGAGGGAUGGUGGUCGUAGGGUAGUGAACCGCUUUCGGGAGAGAAGAAAGGCGGACGUGACUAUGCACGGGUUGACGGUAGCUGGAUAGGAAGCCACGGCUAACUACGUG
This 494-nucleotide ribosomal RNA is filed under the name uncultured bacterium. RNAcentral describes it as "partial 16S ribosomal RNA". It matches the Rfam family "Bacterial small subunit ribosomal RNA", at positions 28 to 507 of the family's 1533-position model. The record is from RNAcentral.